Molecule: non-coding RNA, 102 nt
Organism: Triticum urartu
Lineage: Eukaryota; Viridiplantae; Streptophyta; Magnoliopsida; Poales; Poaceae
Source: Rfam
UGCAUACUCCCUCCGUCCGGAAAAGCUUGUCCCUCAAAUGGAUGUAUCUAGCAAGAUACAUCCAUUUGAGGGACAAGCUUUUUUGGACGGAGGGAGUACAUG